UUUUAUGGAGAGUUUGAUCCUGGCUCAGGAUGAACGCUGGCGGCGUGCCUAAUACAUGCAAGUCGAGCGAACGGACGAGAAGCUUGCUUCUCUGAUGUUAGCGGCGGACGGGUGAGUAACACGUGGAUAACCUACCUAUAAGACUGGGAUAACUUCGGGAAACCGUAGCUAAUACCGGAUAAUAUUUUGAACCGCAUGGUUCAAAAGUGAAAGACGGUCUUGCUGUCACUUAUAGAUGGAUCCGCGCUGCAUUAGCUAGUUGGUAAGGUAACGGCUUACCAAGGCAACGAUGCAUAGCCGACCUGAGAGGGUGAUCGGCCACACUGGAACUGAGACACGGUCCAGACUCCUACGGGAGGCAGCAGUAGGGAAUCUUCCGCAAUGGGCGAAAGCCUGACGGAGCAACGCCGCGUGAGUGAUGAAGGUCUUCGGAUCGUAAAACUCUGUUAUUAGGGAAGAACAUAUGUGUAAGUAACUGUGCACAUCUUGACGGUACCUAAUCAGAAAGCCACGGCUAACUACGUGCCAGCAGCCGCGGUAAUACGUAGGUGGCAAGCGUUAUCCGGAAUUAUUGGGCGUAAAGCGCGCGUAGGCGGUUUUUUAAGUCUGAUGUGAAAGCCCACGGCUCAACCGUGGAGGGUCAUUGGAAACUGGAAAACUUGAGUGCAGAAGAGGAAAGUGGAAUUCCAUGUGUAGCGGUGAAAUGCGCAGAGAUAUGGAGGAACACCAGUGGCGAAGGCGACUUUCUGGUCUGUAACUGACGCUGAUGUGCGAAAGCGUGGGGAUCAAACAGGAUUAGAUACCCUGGUAGUCCACGCCGUAAACGAUGAGUGCUAAGUGUUAGGGGGUUUCCGCCCCUUAGUGCUGCAGCUAACGCAUUAAGCACUCCGCCUGGGGAGUACGACCGCAAGGUUGAAACUCAAAGGAAUUGACGGGGACCCGCACAAGCGGUGGAGCAUGUGGUUUAAUUCGAAGCAACGCGAAGAACCUUACCAAAUCUUGACAUCCUUUGACAACUCUAGAGAUAGAGCCUUCCCCUUCGGGGGACAAAGUGACAGGUGGUGCAUGGUUGUCGUCAGCUCGUGUCGUGAGAUGUUGGGUUAAGUCCCGCAACGAGCGCAACCCUUAAGCUUAGUUGCCAUCAUUAAGUUGGGCACUCUAAGUUGACUGCCGGUGACAAACCGGAGGAAGGUGGGGAUGACGUCAAAUCAUCAUGCCCCUUAUGAUUUGGGCUACACACGUGCUACAAUGGACAAUACAAAGGGCAGCGAAACCGCGAGGUCAAGCAAAUCCCAUAAAGUUGUUCUCAGUUCGGAUUGUAGUCUGCAACUCGACUACAUGAAGCUGGAAUCGCUAGUAAUCGUAGAUCAGCAUGCUACGGUGAAUACGUUCCCGGGUCUUGUACACACCGCCCGUCACACCACGAGAGUUUGUAACACCCGAAGCCGGUGGAGUAACCUUUUAGGAGCUAGCCGUCGAAGGUGGGACAAAUGAUUGGGGUGAAGUCGUAACAAGGUAGCCGUAUCGGAAGGUGCGGCUGGAUCACCUCCUUUCUA
This 1556-nucleotide ribosomal RNA is filed under the name Staphylococcus aureus. RNAcentral describes it as "16S ribosomal RNA". It matches the Rfam family "Bacterial small subunit ribosomal RNA". Lineage: Bacteria; Bacillati; Bacillota; Bacilli; Caryophanales; Staphylococcaceae. RNAcentral also lists the same sequence under 1 other name. The record is from RNAcentral.